GAUGAACGCUAGCGGCAGGCUUAAUACAUGCAAGUCGUGGGGCAGCAGGUUUGUAGCAAUACAGAUGCUGGCGACCGGCAAACGGGUGCGGAACACGUACAGAACCUUCCUUUGAGCGGGGAAUAGCCCAGAGAAAUUUGGAUUAAUACCCCAUAGUAUAAUGAAGUGGCAUCACUUUAUUAUUAAAGAUUUAUCACUCGAAGAUGGCUGUGCGGCUGAUUAGGUAGUUGGCGGGGUAAAGGCCCACCAAGCCUGCGAUCAGUAACUGGUGUGAGAGCACGACCAGUCACACGGGCACUGAGACACGGGCCCGACUCCUACGGGAGGCAGCAGUAAGGAAUAUUGGUCAAUGGAGGCAACUCUGAACCAGCCAUGCCGCGUGGAGGAUGAAGGUCCUCUGGAUUGUAAACUUCUUUUAUAUGGGACGAAAAAAGGGUUUUCUAACUCGUCUGACGGUACCAUAUGAAUAAGCACCGGCUAACUCCGUGCCAG
RNAcentral lists this ribosomal RNA (492 nucleotides) under uncultured bacterium. RNAcentral's name for it is "bacterial SSU rRNA". It matches the Rfam family "Bacterial small subunit ribosomal RNA", at positions 28 to 511 of the family's 1533-position model. The record is from RNAcentral.